This 552-nucleotide ribosomal RNA is filed under the name uncultured Cortinarius. RNAcentral describes it as "eukaryotic LSU rRNA". The stretch from base 215 to 368 matches the Rfam family "5.8S ribosomal RNA". The record is from RNAcentral. Lineage: Eukaryota; Fungi; Basidiomycota; Agaricomycetes; Agaricales; Cortinariaceae.
AAGUCGUAACAAGGUUUCCGUAGGUGAACCUGCGGAAGGAUCAUUAUUGAAAUAAACCUGAUGGGUUGUUGCUGGUUCUCCAGGGAGCAUGUGCACACCUUUUCAUCUUUAUAUCUCCACCUGUGCACUUUUUGUAGACCUUUUUGGGUCUAUGUUGCUUCAAUUUACCCCAAUGUAUGUCAAUAGAAUGUUGUGCCUAUAUAAUAAUAUAUACAACUUUCAGCAACGGAUCUCUUGGCUCUCGCAUCGAUGAAGAACGCAGCGAAAUGCGAUAAGUAAUGUGAAUUGCAGAAUUCAGUGAAUCAUCGAAUCUUUGAACGCACCUUGCGCUCCUUGGUAUUCCGAGGAGCAUGCCUGUUUGAGUGUCAUUAAUAUAUAUAUCAACCUUCUCUUGUUGAGUGGUUUGGAUGUGGGGGUUUGCUGGGCCUCUUAAAAAGAGGUUCAGCUCCUCUGAAAUGCAUUAGCAGAACAACCUUGUUCAUUGGUGUGAUAACUAUCUACGCUAUUGAAUGUGAGGGACAGUUCAGCUUUCUAACAGUCCUCGGACAAUUC